UACGAAGGGGGCUAGCGUUGUUCGGAUUUACUGGGCGUAAAGCGCACGUAGGCGGAUCGUUAAGUCGGGGGUGAAAUCCUGGAGCUCAACUCCAGAACUGCCUUCGAUACUGGCGAUCUUGAGUCCGGAAGAGGUGAGUGGAACUCCUAGUGUAGAGGUGGAAUUCGUAGAUAUCAGGAAGAACACCUAUGGCGAAGGCAGCACUCUGGGACGGUACUGACGCUGAGACGCGAAAGCGUGGGGAGCGAACAGG
This 253-nucleotide ribosomal RNA is filed under the name uncultured bacterium. RNAcentral's name for it is "partial 16S ribosomal RNA". It matches the Rfam family "Bacterial small subunit ribosomal RNA", at positions 524 to 776 of the family's 1533-position model. The record is from RNAcentral.